GGCGAACGGGUGAGUAACACGUGGGCAAUCUGCCCUUCACUCUGGGACAAGCCCUGGAAACGGGGUCUAAUACCGGAUAACACUCCUGCCUGCAUGGGCGGGGGUUAAAAGCUCCGGCGGUGAAGGAUGAGCCCGCGGCCUAUCAGCUUGUUGGUGGGGUAAUGGCCUACCAAGGCGACGACGGGUAGCCGGCCUGAGAGGGCGACCGGCCACACUGGGACUGAGACACGGCCCAGACUCCUACGGGAGGCAGCAGUGGGGAAUAUUGCACAAUGGGCGAAAGCCUGAUGCAGCGACGCCGCGUGAGGGAUGACGGCCUUCGGGUUGUAAACCUCUUUCAGCAGGGAAGAAGCGAAAGUGACGGUACCUGCAGAAGAAGCACCGGCUAACUACGUGCCAGCAGCCGCGGUAAUACGUAGGGUGCGAGCGUUGUCCGGAAUUAUUGGGCGUAAAGAGCUCGUAGGCGGCUUGUCACGUCGGAUGUGAAAGCCCGGGGCUUAACCCCGGGUCUGCAUUCGAUACGGGCAGGCUAGAGUGUGGUAGGGGAGAUCGGAAUUCCUGGUGUAGCGGUGAAAUGCGCAGAUAUCAGGAGGAACACCGGUGGCGAAGGCGGAUCUCUGGGCCAUUACUGACGCUGAGGAGCGAAAGCGUGGGGAGCGAACAGGAUUAGAUACCCUGGUAGUCCACGCCGUAAACGUUUGGGAACUAGGUGUUGGCGAC
Molecule: ribosomal RNA, 720 nt
Filed under: Streptomyces sp.
Lineage: Bacteria; Bacillati; Actinomycetota; Actinomycetes; Kitasatosporales; Streptomycetaceae
Description: bacterial SSU rRNA
Rfam family: Bacterial small subunit ribosomal RNA
Source: RNAcentral